GACCAUCCCCAGUGUUGACCUCUGGGUGAGGUACAUCUGAGACCCACUGGGCUUAGCUGCACAGAGGCAACCAGCAUGUCUGCCUAGGUGGGGCCUGCUCCUGAAACUCUUGAGAGUGCUCUGGCCCUCGGCCAGUGUGGUGCUGCAGCCUGGUGUCAUCUGUGACCUGCUGGGGGCAGUUCAAUGCCAGGCAGCUGAGCCAUCUCCUCCUGCCCCUUCUACCAUUACUGAGACCUUGGGACAGAGACCUGGCGAUAUCUGGAAGACGAAGCAGGUCCACGGGAGGGCUGCCAACAUGUGUGCCAGCAGAUGUUGUAUUCUAUCAGGGAGGUGGAGGGAGGAGGUCAGACCCCCUGCUGAGACGUUCAGGAUCCUUUCUGCUGAGAAUCUGUAUUCUGUGUAUCACCUGAGCAUCACCUGAGCAGACCUGGACUGGCACUCACAGAUCAUAGCCUGCUCAAAAGGGAGAUACACAUGCCCAUGCUGACCCCCCAGUUCACUUGUGCCACAUAGCAUGGGCAGAGCAAGGCUCCUUGGAGGUGACAGCAUCUCCCAGGUGGAGUGUGCCAUGAGGAGACCCAUCCACUCACCCACCUGCCCAGCACCCCGCACGAGGAGGCCUCAAUGCAGACACACUGGAGGCCGGGUGAGCUGCCUGGCUAUGCAGUCAGUCCUGUGUGCCCAUCUGGCCUUGAAGUCCCAGAGCUGGCACUUCUCUCCCAAGCUGUCCCCGGUGGUGCAGAUGGUGUGAUGGGAAGUGGGAUGGAAGGAAUCACAGUCAUAUGAACACAUUAUUGAGAGGAAGCCAGGGUGAUCCACGCUGAGAGAGGUGAAGCUAUGCCGCUGCUGAGCCUGGCGGGAGCAUUCUGGUAUUCCUGCGGCCUGGGACUGCCUGGGACAGCAGGCCUGACCCCAGCACUGAGGCUCAAGGAGUGCCACAUCCUGGCCGCAAGAGUCUUUGUUGGGCCAGGUGUUAGUCUUUGGGAUCCCCGUGCUGGGGCCAGCUGUGGGUUUCUUGGGGAGAACGAAAGUUCCAGAGACAGAGCCCUAUCAGAGCCAACUCAGGCCUG
Molecule: long non-coding RNA, 1070 nt
Filed under: Marmota monax (woodchuck)
Lineage: Eukaryota; Metazoa; Chordata; Mammalia; Rodentia; Sciuridae
Source: RNAcentral